AGAAAUGAAGAUAAAGCAAACCGACUGAAAAAUGAUGUCGAGCUCUCGGACUGAUC
RNAcentral lists this small nucleolar RNA (56 nucleotides) under Candidatus Acidianus copahuensis. RNAcentral describes it as "Small nucleolar RNA sR17". It matches the Rfam family "Small nucleolar RNA sR17". The record is from Rfam by way of RNAcentral. Lineage: Archaea; Thermoproteati; Thermoproteota; Thermoprotei; Sulfolobales; Sulfolobaceae.